RNAcentral lists this ribosomal RNA (537 nucleotides) under Halomonas sp. Its description in RNAcentral is "bacterial SSU rRNA". It matches the Rfam family "Bacterial small subunit ribosomal RNA", at positions 378 to 907 of the family's 1533-position model. The record is from RNAcentral. Lineage: Bacteria; Pseudomonadati; Pseudomonadota; Gammaproteobacteria; Oceanospirillales; Halomonadaceae.
GCACCCUGAUCCAGCCAUGCCGCGUGUGUGAAGAAGGCCCUCGGGUUGUAAAGCACUUUCAGCGAGGAAGAACGCCUAGCGGUUAAUACCCGCUAGGAAAGACAUCACUCGCAGAAGAAGCACCGGCUAACUCCGUGCCAGCAGCCGCGGUAAUACGGAGGGUGCAAGCGUUAAUCGGAAUUACUGGGCGUAAAGCGCGCGUAGGUGGCUUGAUAAGCCGGUUGUGAAAGCCCCGGGCUCAACCUGGGAACGGCAUCCGGAACUGUCAAGCUAGAGUGCAGGAGAGGAAGGUAGAAUUCCCGGUGUAGCGGUGAAAUGCGUAGAGAUCGGGAGGAAUACCAGUGGCGAAGGCGGCCUUCUGGACUGACACUGACACUGAGGUGCGAAAGCGUGGGUAGCAAACAGGAUUAGAUACCCUGGUAGUCCACGCCGUAAACGAUGUCGACCAGCCGUUGGGUGCCUAGCGCACUUUGUGGCGAAGUUAACGCGAUAAGUCGACCGCCUGGGGAGUACGGCCGCAAGGUUAAAACUCAAAUG